Molecule: long non-coding RNA, 382 nt
Organism: Lycium ferocissimum
Lineage: Eukaryota; Viridiplantae; Streptophyta; Magnoliopsida; Solanales; Solanaceae
Exons: 3
Source: RefSeq, a predicted model, not a curated record
AAAAAAUCAGUUUCUCCAUCAAAUCAACUCCUCAUCAAGUGCAUAAGAACGUGUAGUAGUUGUUGAAAAGAAACAAGAGGGUGUAGCACCUCAAUAGAGUUGAAGUUUCGGCCAAGGUGAAGAACAAGAUUGAAAGGAUAAGUGCUAUUGGGCAGCAAGUACAAGUUAUAAUACGACUAAACGCUAAAGGUACAGACGCUCGUUUUGGAGAUCCGCCAGUCUAGGAUAUCUAUUCAGCUAUUUUGAAGUGCUCCUUUGUUCCGGAGUCUAGCUUGUGGUAUAACUCCCUUUUGUUGUAUAAGUAUGUGUUUAUUUGGGUACGACGGGGCCCUGUCCCGUCAUAUGAUUCUGUUUGUCUGUUUAGAGGUCUGUGGACUUAUAU